ACGCGAUAUUUAAAUAAAAUAAAACUGAACAAUUUUACGAAGCGAUAAGCAUGGCAAAACAGGUAAAGUCGGCCUACCACCUGAACACUUUCCCAACACACAUAAUCAACAAAGAAAAUCAAUAAGACAGAGACAAACAAAUCAAUACAGUGUGUAAGCAAACACUGAGCAUGCCGUUCACAGAUGGGCAAAUCAAUCAGCAGCAAACACAAGAAGAGGCUGCGUCUCACUAGUAAUAGAAAAAAAUGUGAGUUAAACCGCAAAGAACCUGCAAAGUGUAUCCCUGUGGUGGGGGAUGGUGGAAGUGAAGCAUUACCAAGCACCAGGAGGGCCACCUCAAUAGGGAAGCCCACAGCCUGCUGAGAGCAGUAGGACUUUGGAAAGCAGUGUAAUGUUAACUAGGAUCUUGAGAAUGGGCACAACUUGUGCCCAGAGCUUUCACAAGUGUACCUUGUGUACCCUAACGCUCCACUUCUGACUCUCAAGCACUGAAGUUGGAAACGCGGUAGCAAUACUAAUUCUCAGCUGGGGUGUGAUGGUGGCGGCAAGAGAAUCGGGAGCUCAAGGCUACGGGAGACUCUUCCUAAGUAAAUAAAAUAAAGGCAAAGCAGGAGGGAGUAUAAGUUUUUCUGUCCCAGCCCAGGCUUGCGUAGUGGGAGUUGUAGUCUCAUAAUCUUCCAAAUCUGAAGACCUGAAGUAGGUAGCAAGUGUUGAUGCAGAAGGAUGAGUAAGCUGCUUGGGGUUACUGUGGUUGAGGAAAAUCUGUGAAAACAACUGUUUAACAUUGAUGAAAUGAUCCUGUCUUGGAAGCACAAAGACUAUGCAUUUAAAGACUGUGAGAUGCUGCUUUUGGGUGGAGAUGUUGCAGGCUACAAAUAAAAAUCCUCCUACAGCUAAAGAAGACAAGAACAUUCAAGAAUAUGAGCAAGCAUACUUUCCCUGUUCAUUAUCACCAGAAAGAGAGAGCCUGGGUAACACCAGCAUUGCCUAAGGACUGGUUUUUGAACUGUUUUAUACUAUAGACAAGAAUAUUCUAUAAACAAGGACAGCAUUUCAUUCAAGAGUCUUCUGGUCUGAUGGAUAGCCAUAGCACAUGGGCACCAUCCAUACUAGCGUAAAGGCUCUGUGUCUACCACCAACUUAACUGCAUUCGUUCAGCCGACCAAUGGACCAAUGCGAGAGCUUUAGCCAAAGCAUCCUAUUUACAGCGAAUGGUUGUAUAAGUCAUCAGAAGCGAUCAAAUAUGGAUGAAAGCUGCCAGGAUCCUUGAAUAAUAUUAACAUUCUGCUGUCCAAAAUGCUACAGAGAGAGAACUUACACCAGACACACUAUAGGAAGAACAAUUUAAAAACACAUCCAAAGGUUAAGGUUGUCCUCAAUGCACGAGGCUUAUUAGCACCUUAGUAAGCUGGAUGGCAGGAGUCUGAGGUAAAAAGCUUCAGUCACAGCUUUGUUUGGCAAGAUUUCUACUCUCAACGGUUUCUGUGAGGAAGCAGGCUUAAUUAGUACGUGACCUAAGACUUGUAACAGACUUAGGCUAACAGUUAGUUGGGAAACUUCCAGAACUGACCGCUGGUAAAGAUCUUCACAAGCCCCUUGGCAUGGAGACUGAAGAGCUUCCAAUGAUGAACUGAAGGAAUCGGAUGACAACAAAAACCACAACAUGGAAGAAAAGGAAGAAUUUAAAGCAAGAAGAUUCACAACAAAGACCCUGGCAGUGGGACAGGACACUCUCAACAAAGGGGACAGAUAUCAGAUAAGGUGGACAACACUGGUUCACGGGAUCAGACAGACGCAGGCUGCUCUUGCUCACCAUGAAGAAACAACAUCAAAGGGGGGGGGGGGGGGACAAAUGGCGCAGUCAACACUUGGCAUCUGCCCAAAGAAUCCUGCACCUGCUCAAACAGUGGGUGUUGACACCUUUGCACCUUCUGCUUCCUGGACUUGAGUCUCAUCAGAAAAGGGAGAAAUUGAUGAUUACGCCAUCAUAGCACCCAGCCAGUGAUCUUAGUGAGAUGGUUUCAAUAUCCUCAAGCCCGCAUGUACCUUCAGCUCUGUGGCUUAAUGGUAGGAACCUGUUCAACCGUUCUGGAUUUCACUUUCCACACAUCAUGUAAGCAGCCUCACAGGAUUCUUCAGCAUCCUUGAGCCUGGUUCAGACAGAAGAUCCAGAUCCUUUCAUAUUAAGCUCAGGAUGUGGUCCAACAGCAGAGACAGUCUACCAAAAGGAGCCUAGUUUCCACCAGCAAGGGAGUCUAUGGCUCUGAUGGACAGCCAGGAUUAGCUGCCCUAUUUGACACCCAACUCGCUUUAGGGUAAAGAAUACCCAUUUCUCCCCUUUUCACCUAGUUCUGGUCCGGAGUAUUUUAAACAAAGACUGUACCCUACUUGGAACUGCAAUGUCUCAGCCUGUGACCAGCCAAACCCACCCAUUCUCAUUGAGAACUGUACCAGGCUGUGCGAAGUUAAAAAAUCACCUCCCAUCCCCCUUCACCUCAUCUCCUUCCUGUCUCUCACCUCCAGCCUACCAUGAUGGAGUCUGACGCUGAGUAGACCUGCAAAGACACAGUUCCUGUAGCACAAUUAAUAAGAACCCAGAGAGAGAUGCUGGGGUUCAACCUGAA
This is a non-coding RNA of Myodes glareolus (Bank vole), 2624 nucleotides long. The record is from RefSeq and is a predicted model, not a curated record. NCBI's taxonomy places the organism in Eukaryota, Metazoa, Chordata, Mammalia, Rodentia, Cricetidae.